AACAUUCAGUCUGGAUGUCGUGUCGCAGGCUGGGCAUGCUUUAUGGUUCCCGUGACGGGGCCGGCUCGGCUAGCGUUGCUCGGCAAACUGACGCAUUUGUUUCCCACCCGAAGGACGCCGCAACCGGUUGGUGGACGGUCUUAAGGGCGAGAGCUGGAAGGUGGCCGGCGGCGCGCCUCGUGUGUGUCGCCGGUUGUUAGCCAUCUCGCAGGACGGCCCGUCCGCCGACCGUGGCAAUAAAGAGGCCCGGCUGGGCUUCGUCGUCUCCUCCCAUGGCUAGCGAGUAAAGAAGCGUCGCAGGAGUUCGGAGCAGUGUAGUCACACGAAUCGAGUUCGUGGCCACACGCUGCCUCGUCUCUGUUGGCUUGAUGCAAGGCUCGCGGGAGUGAUUGACGGUUUGCGGCGAGUAGAUCGGUCACCCACCCGACCCGUCUUGAAACACGGACCAAGGAGUCU
Molecule: ribosomal RNA, 456 nt
Filed under: Microneta viaria
Lineage: Eukaryota; Metazoa; Arthropoda; Arachnida; Araneae; Linyphiidae
Description: eukaryotic LSU rRNA
Source: RNAcentral